GGGGGUGACAGGCUUCGACUUCGGUAGUUGAUCCAGGGGAAGCGGGCCGAGGGUUGCGGGCAUGACCUCGUUAAUCCUGUGGCCGCACAACAAUAAGUGCCAACACACAGCGCACUCGUCUCGCCCUCGCGGCCUAAAUAACCGCGAGUUAGGGACUGUCAGCCCGGGAGUUCCUCCGGCCCGGUGCCUGGCAUCAGUAAGGAGGAUUUACCGUCUGGCCCGGCCGCGGGACCAGGCGGGACAUCGAACAGCGGCUGAGCCCGGCGGCGGCUUGCCUGCGUGACCGCCGGGGCUGAGAAAACCACAGCAGGCUGCGCCCGGAGAAGCCCUGGAGAUGUACUGAAGGACGCGGGUUCGAUUCCCGCCACCUCCACUC
This 376-nucleotide transfer-messenger RNA is filed under the name Streptosporangiaceae bacterium. It matches the Rfam family "transfer-messenger RNA". From Rfam's summary of the family: Bacterial tmRNA, also known as 10Sa RNA or SsrA, is named for its dual tRNA and mRNA-like properties. Its role is to liberate the mRNA from a stalled ribosome. RNAcentral also lists the same sequence under 1 other name. Lineage: Bacteria; Bacillati; Actinomycetota; Actinomycetes; Streptosporangiales; Streptosporangiaceae. The record is from RNAcentral.